Molecule: ribosomal RNA, 443 nt
Filed under: uncultured bacterium
Lineage: Bacteria
Description: partial 16S ribosomal RNA
Rfam family: Bacterial small subunit ribosomal RNA
Source: RNAcentral
GCUACGGGUGGCAGCAGUGGGGAAUAUUGGGCAAUGGGCGCAAGCCUGACCCAGCAACGCCGCGUGAAGGAAGAAGGCUCUCGGGUUGUAAACUUCUUUUAUCAGGGACGAAGCAAGUGACGGUACCUGAUGAAUAAGCCACGGCUAACUACGUGCCAGCAGCCGCGGUAAUACGGAGGUGGCAAGCGUUAUCCGGAAUGACUGGGCGUAAGGGGGGCGUGGGGGGUUUAGUAAGUUUGCGGUGUAAUUCCGGGGCUCAAACACGGCAGUACCGCAAAAAAUACUAGACUAGUGUACAGGAGGGGUAAGUGGAAUUCCUGGUGUAGCGGUGGAAUGCGUAGAUAUUAGGAGGAACACCAGGGGCGAAGGCGACUUACUGGACUGUAACUGACACUGAGGCACGAAAGCGUGGGGAGCAAACAGGAUUAGAUACCCCAGUAGUC